UAAUCUGCGAUAAGCGCCGGUAAGGUGAUAUGAACCGUUAUAACCGGCGAUUUCCGAAUGGGGAAACCCAGUGUGACUCGUCACACUAUCAUUAACUGAAUCCAUAGGUUAAUGAGGCGAACCGGGGGAACUGAAACAUCUAAGUACCCCGAGGAAAAGAAAUCAACCGAGAUUCCCCCAGUAGCGGCGAGCGAACGGGGAGGAGCCCAGAGCCUGAAUCAGCAUGUGUGUUAGUGGAAGCGUCUGGAAAGGCGCGCGAUACAGGGUGACAGCCCCGUACACAAAAGCGCAUGUGCUGUGAGCUCGAUGAGUAGGGCGGGACACGUGGUAUCCUGUCUGAAUAUGGGGGGACCAUCCUCCAAGGCUAAAUACUCCUGACUGACCGAUAGUGAACCAGUACCGUGAGGGAAAGGCGAAAAGAACCCCGGCGAGGGGAGUGAAAAAGAACCUGAAACCGUGUACGUACAAGCAGUGGGAGCACAGGUUUACCUGUGUGACUGCGUACCUUUUGUAUAAUGGGUCAGCGACUUAUAUUCUGUAGCAAGGUUAACCGUAUAGGGGAGCCGUAGGGAAACCGAGUCUUAAC
RNAcentral lists this ribosomal RNA (586 nucleotides) under Salmonella enterica subsp. enterica serovar Typhimurium. RNAcentral describes it as "partial 23S ribosomal RNA". It matches the Rfam family "Bacterial large subunit ribosomal RNA", at positions 62 to 688 of the family's 2925-position model. Lineage: Bacteria; Pseudomonadati; Pseudomonadota; Gammaproteobacteria; Enterobacterales; Enterobacteriaceae. The record is from RNAcentral.